AAAAAGGUAAACUGUGGGUUCCUGUGCCAUCGUUUGACUGUCCAUCUUAUAUGAAUAGAUGAUAAAAUAUGAUUAAUACUUUAUGUGUGACUUGUCCUUUUAAUUUUUUUUAUAAUUUUUUUAAAUAAGACGGACGGUCAAACGUUGGACAGGGAAACCAGGGUUUGUCUUUUC
This is a non-coding RNA of Oryza meridionalis, 174 nucleotides long. NCBI's taxonomy places the organism in Eukaryota, Viridiplantae, Streptophyta, Magnoliopsida, Poales, Poaceae. The record is from Rfam.